CAGAUCAGCAUGCUGCGGUGAAUACGUUCCCGGGCCUUGUACACACCGCCCGUCACACCAUGGGAGUCGGUACACCCGAAGUCAGGAGCCUGACCUUUUUAGGAGGGCACUGCCGAAGGUGGGAUUGAUGACUGGGGUGAAGUCGUAACAAGGUAUC
Molecule: ribosomal RNA, 157 nt
Filed under: uncultured bacterium
Lineage: Bacteria
Description: partial 16S ribosomal RNA
Rfam family: Bacterial small subunit ribosomal RNA
Source: RNAcentral